Molecule: non-coding RNA, 21 nt
Filed under: Caenorhabditis elegans
Lineage: Eukaryota; Metazoa; Nematoda; Chromadorea; Rhabditida; Rhabditidae
Source: RNAcentral
UCAAUUUGAUUAUAGUCGAAU